GCCAUUUUGUGAGGAGGGUGAUAAACGGGCGCUGGUAGCGCCCUGUUCAGUUACUUUUCAGGUGAGGGAGGAGGAAGGUCGUGCAGCCAUCUCGAGGGUCGUGAAACCGGACUAACUUCUUCUAAAUCCCCUUCCACCGACCGAGCCGCAGGCCCUUCUGAAGAGGAAGCGUCCCUGGAGGCUGCUAGUUGCGGCGAACCGUCGGGGUCGCUGCUGCCGCCUCUAGCUGAGCGCGCGCGGGCCCUCCCAGGGCGUUGAUUUCUCGGCGCGCAGCCUUCGGGCCGAGCCCUCGCCGGCCAUGAGUUACGGGCGUCCUCCCCCAGACGUGGAGGGGAUGACCUCUCUGAAGGUGGAUAACCUGACAUACCGCACCUCGCCCGACACUCUGCGGCGAGUCUUUGAGAAGUACGGCCGGGUGGGCGAUGUCUACAUCCCCCGCGAUCGCUACACCAAGGAGUCCCGUGGCUUCGCCUUCGUGCGUUUCCACGACAAGCGCGACGCCGAAGACGCUAUGGACGCCAUGGACGGCGCCGUGCUUGACGGCCGGGAGCUGCGGGUGCAAAUGGCCCGCUAUGGCCGCCCGCCGGACUCCCACCACAGCCGCCGAGGACCGCCGCCCCGCAGGUACGGGGGAGGCGGCUACGGACGCCGGAGCCGCAGCCCGAGGCGGCGUCGCCGCAGCCGCUCUCGAAGCAGGAGUCGUUCCAGAUCCCGCAGCCGAUCUCGUUACAGCCGGUCCAAGUCUCGCUCGCGUACUCGAUCCAGAUCUAGAUCUACCUCCAAGUCCAGGUCGGCCCGUAGAUCCAAGUCCAAGUCCUCGUCGGUCUCCAGAUCGCGGUCGAGGUCCAGAUCCAGGUCCAGAUCCAGAAGUCCUCCACCGGUAUCGAAGAGGGAAUCAAAGUCUAGAUCUCGAUCCAAGAGCCCCCCCAAGUCUCCUGAAGAAGAAGGAGCUGUUUCCUCUUAGGAUCAUGCUGCGGUCUCCUGUUUGCUAAAAGAAUAUUGGCCAGUAUUGCAGAUUUUAACUGAUUUGGCUGAUCCUCCAGGGACCAGUUUCUGUGGGCGUGUGUUGGAGCAGAUACGGCAGAAAGCAACAUAAUGGAUGACUUGGGGGGAAAGACCACAUUCAGUCCAUUGAAGAGUCCCUGGAACAAGCAACUGGCUAUUGAAAAGGUUAUUUUGUAACAUUUUGUCUAACUUUUUAACUUGUUUUAAAGCUGCCUCAGAUGGCAAACUUCAUUUUAUGUGCCAUUUUGUUGCUGUUAUUCAAAUUUCUUGUAAUUUAGUGAAGUGAACGACUACAGAUUUCAUUAUUGGCUUUGGAUAUUUGAGGUAAAUUUUCAUUUUUGUUUAUAUAGUGCUGAUUUUUGUUUGAAAUUAAACAGACUCCCUUAACCUAAUUUGUGGCCUCCUGAGUUUUGAGGAAACAUGCAGCCAUUACAUGCUGAAUAGCCUAAUGCUAUCAAGAGAAGUUAACUCAACAUUGCCUUCAUUCUUUUUUUUUUUUAAUCUACAAAACCUUGGUGUAAAUUUGUUUGUAAAAUACUAAUUACUCUCAGAUACUAAGUAGUAUCUGAACCCAAAUUUGUAUAAGACUUUUCAGGUGACAAAACUUAAUUUUUGAAAGGAUUCUUUUACCAAACACAAUUCUAAUCUCUUCUCUUAUGUAUUUUUGUGCACUAGGCGCAGUUGUGUAGCAGUUGAGUAAUGCUGGUUAGCUGUUAAGGUGGCGUGUUGCAGUGCAGAGUGCUUGGCUGUUUCCUGUUUUCUCCUGAUUGCUCCUGUGUAAAGAUGCCUUGUCGUGCAGAAACAAAUGGCUGUCCAGUUUAUUAAAAUGCCUGACAACUGCACUUCCAGUCACCCGGGCCUUGCAUAUAAAUUACGGAGCAUACAGUGAGCACAUCUAGCUGAUGAUAAACACACCUUAUUUUUUUUCCCCCCCAAAAAAAGUGGUAAAUCUGAUCAUCUUCAUGUAUGAACUUGGCAUAUGAAAAAUGUAACAUUAAGGAAAGCAUUCCUUUGUAAGUACUGAUAACAUGGUGUAUCUUUUGCUUAUGAUAUUCUGUAUUAUAACCACUGUUUCUGUAGUUUACAAUUAAAACAUUUUUCUUGAUGUUAGCUUUUCUCUAAACUCAAUGUCUUGGUCUUAAUUUUUUUUUUUAGUUUGAAAGACCUAUGCAACUAACCUGUGAAUGUCAUUAUUGACUGUACUAAAGUAAAAUUAUUUUUUAUUUUUAUUUUUUUUUCCAACUGAGCCUUUUUCUCCCCCUUGAGUUAAAACUGGGUACUACUGCCAAAUUGGCACAUGCCCAAGUUCAUUACUAAAACCAAGGUACCAAAGUAAGCCUAUCAACAGCUCCUGCAUUGGCUAUUGAUAUUUUUCACCUGUUAAAAAGGUGAAAGUCACCAAGUACAUAUCCUCUUGGGACUAAAGAUCUAAGUCAUGAUUCUUAGGUAAAAUUUAUUAUGGUGGUUGCAUGCUUUGGUUUACACUAAAGCUUUAUUUUAUCAGAGCCAAGUGAAUAAACAUCAUAAUGGUUAGCAACUUAGGGUUUUUUCUUUUUCUUUUUUUUUUUUUUUUUCCCCCACGAUACUCUGCAAAUUUUUAUUCCUGGUUCCUACUGAGAAGGGUGGGCUUGUAGUGGCUUUACUAUGCAGCAAGCACACUAAACAGAAUUGUGAUGUUGUUCAAAAGAAGCAUAUAGGACUUAAUUGCUGAAGACAUAGGAACACUUCAGAGGACAUUCUUUGCCAAAGAAAUGAUCAUCAUUUCAACAGUAUGUCUUCCUGGAAGGGCAGAUUCUGCUAGAUGUUCUUUGUCGGCACCAAAAGACUCCAGAGGAAUGUGGAUACAUUGCAGCUCCCACUUGUAGAGCAAAGCUUCAAGUGAACACUCAGCACUAAAGAAAAUAAAGGUUUUUCUUAACAAUG
RNA transcript from Dromiciops gliroides (monito del monte), 2928 nucleotides. It is a transcript of the gene named serine and arginine rich splicing factor 2, with no coding region annotated. The transcript has 4 exons. The record is from RefSeq and is a predicted model, not a curated record. Lineage: Eukaryota; Metazoa; Chordata; Mammalia; Microbiotheria; Microbiotheriidae.